Long non-coding RNA from Papaver somniferum (opium poppy), 403 nucleotides. RefSeq lists it as uncharacterized. NCBI's taxonomy places the organism in Eukaryota, Viridiplantae, Streptophyta, Magnoliopsida, Ranunculales, Papaveraceae. The record is from RefSeq and is a predicted model, not a curated record. The transcript has 2 exons.
GAAAUAUCAGCCGCACUAAAAGUCUCUUUUAUUGGGAAAACUUAGCUGCUGUGAGAGAAGUCUAAGGAGGAGGACGAUUAAUUUCAUCCGAAAGGUAGUACCACUGGUUGGAGGAUUGUUCUAGCUUACCAGGAGACCGUGACCGUGGAGCAACCUAGCUUGUAGAUUACACUCUUGAUUCGAAAAGCUAUUUCGUCAUUUCUUUUAAGGUGUUUAAUUGGCUAAAAUGUUCUAUUGAGUUCUUUAAGAUCAAAAUCUUAUUUCUUUUAAAUAAAUUGUUAGCGUUUAUUUUGGGACCGGCCUGCGUGUCGAGAUUUAUUUUUAUUUAUUUAUUUUCAAAUAUUUGUAAAUAUACUUGCAACUUCUUUAUCACUUUCAAUAAAUAAAAUUGAUUUUUUUUCUU